GCUGGCGGCAUGCCUAACACAUGCAAGUCGAACGGUAACGCGGAGAGCUUGCUCUCUGGCGACGAGUGGCGGACGGGUGAGUAAUACUUAGGAAUCUGCCCAGUAGUGGGGGACAACAUUCGGAAACGGAUGCUAAUACCGCAUACGCACUACGGUGGAAAGUGGGGGAUCUUCGGACCUCACGCUAUUGGAUGAGCCUAAGUCGGAUUAGCUUGUUGGUGAGGUAAUGGCUCACCAAGGCGACGAUCUGUAGCUGGUCUGAGAGGACGAUCAGCCACACUGGGACUGAGACACGGCCCAGACUCCUACGGGAGGCAGCAGUGGGGAAUAUUGGACAAUGGGCGCAAGCCUGAUCCAGCAAUGCCGCGUGUGUGAAGAAGGCCUGCGGGUUGUAAAGCACUUUCAGUAGAGAAGAAAAGCCCAGGGUUAAUACCCCUGAGUCUUGACGUAACCUACAGAAGAAGCACCGGCUAACUCCGUG
Molecule: ribosomal RNA, 481 nt
Filed under: uncultured bacterium
Lineage: Bacteria
Description: bacterial SSU rRNA
Rfam family: Bacterial small subunit ribosomal RNA
Source: RNAcentral